CCACUAGACAGACACGGGGAAAGGGGCAACAAGAAACGCUCACACACCAAGAAAAAAAAAGAGCAACACGUAUGUAGCUCCUCUGCUGUGCUUCCGUCUCUCCACCCCCACAUGCACACAUAAGCACACUUUUUUUUGUUGCAUAUGUAUGCAGCAGACGGGGAGGAAAGCAGUUGCCUUCCUCAACAUAUAUAUAUAUAUAUUGCUAUGUUUUCUUUCUGCAGCAUCGUCGUCCUAGCGCGGUCGCACAGGCACACAGCGCUGCGACCUCUCUCUCUCAUAGCCUUCACCACUGUUCUCAAUCAAACUCUUGCCCUUCUCCUUGCCCACUCUUUGGCAUUCCUUUUCAACGGGUAAGUCUGCUAAAAUUGUUUUCUUCAUUGAGUCUAUGUGUGAUUGCGCGUGACGUGAUCAUCUGCAGCCUAGUACAUUACAGCGUUGACUUACCGUUGUAUAUAUAUAUAUAUAUACUUGUCCCUGUCUGCCUCUCUCUUCUUGUACCCAGAUGUCCAUCAUUUACGUGGAUGAGCUAGCCAUCCGGCUGCCGUCGGAUGUACGCAACACCUUCAACCCAUUGUGCGCUUUCGGCAGCAGCAGCAACAGUGGCGCCAACCCCCACAACAAUAACCGCUGUUCUGCGCCUGUGAUGGGGCUGCGGGAGGUGCAGUCCGGCCACGUGCUUCUGCCCAUUGACGCCGAGGGCUCAAUCGUUGUCACCCCUGGACAGCGGUACACCGUGGUUCUUGUUCGCGAGACCCGCGGCGGCACUGUGGCGUCAGCAGCUGCACCACCAGCCAGAGCAGAACUCUCAGCUGCAAGCAAUGGUCAUGAGAACAGCGCUGACAGUAACACCGACAGAAAGAUAAAGAGUGCGGCACCAGCGAAGCCUCACCAACCGCAUCAGCAGCAGCAGCCCGUUAAGAAGCCCGGCUUGCCGCGUGAGGCCUCUGCGGCAGAACCCCUAGCGCAACCAGCCAUGCCGCCUGCCCAGAAGGCGAACUUGUCCAAGAAGGAGCGCAAGGCGGCGCGCGAGUCGGCCGCAGAGGAGCACGUCUACGGGGGUGCGGCCCCGAGCGUUUCUACUGUAGCACAAACAGAGCAGCCCAGCAAGAAGCGGAAGCGCCAGGACGACGGCGCGGCACAGGCAGCGCAGCAGCAGCACCGGCAAAAAUCAUCCCCCACUUUGAAUGCAAGGGUCGAGUCGGCGGACACCGACGAUGCGCCGCUGAUGGCGGCGUACAGGAGCUCCCAGUCGCACACUUCCUCGCGUACCUCACCAGUGAUGGAGCCGUCAACAUCUGCUGAGAGCAGUCGCCACAACAGCAAGCGUGGCUCGCUCCGCAGCAAGACAGAGACAGUAGUGGCGCCGCCUCCGCCAACGCGCCGCAGUCUUAGCAGCAUCGACGGCUACGAUGACGAGGAAGGCGCGCAGCCGCUGGCGCAGUUGUACAGCGCCCAGUCCGCGGCAUCGCAGCCCCCAGUUCCUGAGCCGAAGCAUGCAGGGGAGGAGGAGACACGCAUAACCGCCACUUCCAAGAAGCGCCGCUCCCCCUCGGAAAAGACGACGAAGCCGACUUCUGCUAGUACUGCAGCACCGACAGCCGCUCCACGAGUCCCGUCCCCACCACAGCCAGCGACAUGCACCGCAGCGGAGCCAGCAACGAAGACGCUGCGCCAGAAGAGCGCCAGCCCAGACAGAGUUCCCGUGACGCUGCCGCCGUCGUCUCGGACGAGCACCGUCCGUCGCGUUCCGCUAGACACAUCAAGCGACUCGGAUUAGAGUACUGCCAUGAAGGGAAAAGAGCGCAAGCGUCGUGCUCUCUCCAUGGCAGCGCAAGAGCUACGCCACAUAUCGCCAUAUGAGGCACAUGGCACACGCGCAAGCACACGGAAAGCACCAAAUGUGCAUUUUGUGACGUGAUGAUGGCUGGCGGUGGCCUGCGUGCGUAUGGCGUGUACGUGCCGUUCGUAAACCGUGGUAUGGGGCCGUGCGAUUCACUCACGUAAAAGACUUGUAAGCGAUACAAAGCACACAGCUGUAAGUGAGAGUGAAGAUGCAUGCGUGAUCUGCAAGAGAUG
This 2079-nucleotide unclassified non-coding RNA is filed under the name Leishmania donovani. RNAcentral describes it as "gene:LdHU3.33.2190(CDS-product:hypothetical_prote in_conserved)". Lineage: Eukaryota; Euglenozoa; Kinetoplastea; Trypanosomatida; Trypanosomatidae. The record is from RNAcentral.